This 480-nucleotide ribosomal RNA is filed under the name uncultured bacterium. RNAcentral describes it as "partial 16S ribosomal RNA". It matches the Rfam family "Bacterial small subunit ribosomal RNA", at positions 28 to 507 of the family's 1533-position model. The record is from RNAcentral.
GAUGAACGCUAGCGGCAGGCCUAACACAUGCAAGUCGAGGGGUAGAAGGAGCUUGCUCCUUUGAGACCGGCGCACGGGUGCGUAACGCGUAUGCAAUCUACCUUGUACAGGGGAAUAGCCCAGAGAAAUUUGGAUUAAUGCCCCAUAGUAUAUAACCUUCGCAUGUUGGUUAUAUUAAAGUUCCAACGGUACAAGAUGAGCAUGCGUCCCAUUAGUUAGUUGGUAAGGUAACGGCUUACCAAGACGAUGAUGGGUAGGGGUCCUGAGAGGGAGAUCCCCCACACUGGUACUGGGACACGGACCAGAGUGCUACGGGCGGCAGCAGUGAGGAAUAUUGGUCAAUGGUAGCAAGCCUGAACCAGCCAUGCCGCGUGCAGGAAGACGGUCCUAUGGAUUGUAAACUGCUUUUAUACAGGAAGAAACCCUCCCGCGUGUGGGAGCUUGACGGUACUGGAGGAAUAAGGAUCGGCUAACUCCGUG